This 361-nucleotide ribosomal RNA is filed under the name uncultured bacterium. Its description in RNAcentral is "partial 16S ribosomal RNA". It matches the Rfam family "Bacterial small subunit ribosomal RNA", at positions 338 to 696 of the family's 1533-position model. The record is from RNAcentral.
CCUACGGGGGGCAGCAGUGAGGAAUAUUGGUCAAUGGGCGUAAGCCUGAACCAGCCAAGCCGCGUGAGGGAUGAAGGUUCUAUGGAUCGUAAACCUCUUUUAUAAGGGAAUAAAGUGUGGGACGUGUACUAUUUUGUAUGUACCUUAUGAAUAAGGAUCGGCUAACUCCGUGCCAGCAGCCGCGGUAAUACGGAGGAUCCGAGCGUUAUCCGGUUUUAUUGGGUUUAAAGGGUGCGUAGGCGGGAUUUUAAGUCAGGGGUGAAAGGCGUUGGCUUAACCAUGGAAUUGCCGUUGAGACUGGGGGGCUUGAGUAUGGUUGAGGCAGGCGGAAGGCGUGGUGUAGCGGUGAAAUGCUUAGAUA